AGUUCCUGCCUGGUCUCUCUCCAAGGUCUGCGGCCUGAAAAGCCGCCGUUGUAGUCCUCAACCACAGGAAC
RNAcentral lists this transfer RNA (71 nucleotides) under Phalacrocorax brasilianus (Neotropic cormorant). RNAcentral's name for it is "Nannopterum brasilianus (Neotropic cormorant) tRNA-Glu". Lineage: Eukaryota; Metazoa; Chordata; Aves; Suliformes; Phalacrocoracidae. The record is from RNAcentral.